AGCUUUAUAGUCAAAAAUGAUAUAAAAUUGCAAAUUUUAUGGGGUAUAAAUAAUAAUACUAAGGCUU
Molecule: transfer RNA, 67 nt
Filed under: Calinaga buddha
Lineage: Eukaryota; Metazoa; Arthropoda; Insecta; Lepidoptera; Nymphalidae
Also listed under: 1 other name
Description: tRNA-Cys
Source: RNAcentral